AAAAGUUAAAGGAAAUCAUUAAAGAACAAUUAGAUUUGGGACAUCUUAGACUGUCCCUAAGCCCAUGGAAUAGUCCAGUGUUUGUUAUACAAAAGACAUCGGGUAAGUGGAGAAUGUUACAGGACUUAAGAUUAAUGAGCGGAUGGUCCCUGUGGGUACUCCCUUACGGGGAUUGCCCUGGAUCCCCUCUAUCCCUGGGAACCAUAUGCUUAUUGUAAUUGAUAUUAAGGAUUGUUUCUUUUCUAUUCCCCUUGAUCCCCAGGAUUGUGAGAAGUUUGCCUUCUC
This 285-nucleotide non-coding RNA is filed under the name Marmota monax (woodchuck). The record is from RNAcentral. Lineage: Eukaryota; Metazoa; Chordata; Mammalia; Rodentia; Sciuridae.